This 430-nucleotide ribosomal RNA is filed under the name uncultured bacterium. RNAcentral's name for it is "bacterial SSU rRNA". It matches the Rfam family "Bacterial small subunit ribosomal RNA", at positions 64 to 524 of the family's 1533-position model. The record is from RNAcentral.
GAACGCUCUUGAUCAUCGAGCGAGUGGCGGACGGGUGAGGAACACGUGGGUGAUCUACCUUGAAGGUGAGGAAUACCGUGCGAGAAAUCGCCGACAAUACCGCAUACGUUUGGUGACAAACAAUGUCGAGUGAUCGAUGCCACAAGAUGAGCCUGCGCCCGAUUAUCUUAUUUGGUGAGGUAAUGGCUUACCAAUGCGACAAUCGGUAUCUGGUCUGAUAGGACGAUCAUCCACACUGGGAUUGAUAACGGCCCAUACUCCUACGGGGGGCAGCAGUGAGGAAUUUUCGUCAAUGGGGGCAACCCUGAACGAUCAACGCCGUGUGCAUGAUGAAUGUUUUCGGAUCGUAAACUGCUUUUCCUGUGGAAGAGAACGGACGGUACCCAGGUGAAUAAGCCCCGGCUAACUACGUGCCAGCAUCCGCGGUAAU